GACGAACGCUGGCGGCGUGCUUAACACAUGCAAGUCGAACGGAAAGGCCCUGCUUUUGUGGGGUGCUCGAGUGGCGAACGGGUGAGUAACACGUGAGUAACCUGCCCUUGACUUUGGGAUAACUUCAGGAAACUGGGGCUAAUACCGGAUAGGAGCUCCUGCUGCAUGGUGGGGGUUGGAAAGUUUCGGCGGUUGGGGAUGGACUCGCGGCUUAUCAGCUUGUUGGCGGGGUAGUGGCUUACCAAGGCUUUGACGGGUAGCCGGCCUGAGAGGGUGACCGGCCACAUUGGGACUGAGAUACGGCCCAGACUCCUACGGGAGGCAGCAGUGGGGAAUAUUGCGCAAUGGGCGGAAGCCUGAUGCAGCAACGCCGCGUGCGGGAUGACGGCCUUCGGGUUGUAAACCGCUUUCGCCUGUGACGAAGCGUGAGUGACGGUAAUGGGUAAAGAAGCAUCGGCUAACUACGUG
RNAcentral lists this ribosomal RNA (468 nucleotides) under uncultured bacterium. RNAcentral describes it as "partial 16S ribosomal RNA". It matches the Rfam family "Bacterial small subunit ribosomal RNA", at positions 28 to 507 of the family's 1533-position model. The record is from RNAcentral.